UGAGGAAUAUUGGUCAAUGGGCGGAAGCCUGAACCAGCCAUGUAGCGUGAAGGACGACUGCCCUAUGGGUUGUAAACUUCUUUUAUCGGGGAAUAAGAGUUACCAUGUAUGGUAAUGAGCAGGUACCCGUUGAAUCAGCAUCGGCUAACUCCGUGCCAGCAGCCGCGGUAAUACGGAGGAUGCAAGCGUUAUCCGGAUUUAUUGGGUUUAAAGGGUGCGCAGGCGGUAUUUCCCGUCAGCCGUGAAAUCGUAAGGCUUAACCUUGCGUUUGCGUUUGAAACAGCAAUACUUGAGUAUGUGCAAGGUGUGCGGAAUUCGUGGUGUAGCGGUGAAAUGCUUAGAUAUCACGAAGAACUCCAAUUGCGUAGGCAGCUCACCGGAACAUAACUGACGCUCAUGCACGAAAGUGCGGGAAUCAAACAGGAUUAGAUACCCUGGUAGUCCGCACCGUAAACGAUGAAUACUUGCCUUGUGCGAUACACGGUAUGAGGUUAAGCGAAAGCAUUAAGUAUUCCRCCUGGGGAGUACRCCGGCAACGGUGAAACUCAAAGGAAUUGACGGGGGCCCGCACAAGCGGAGGAACAUGUGGUUUAAUUCGAUGAUACGCGCGGAACCUUACCCGGGCUUGAAUUGUGUCUGCAUAUACUUGAAAGGGUAUAGUCGCAAGACAGGCAUGAAGGUGCUGCAUGGUUGUCGUCAGCUCGUGCCGUGAGGUGUCGGCUUAAGUGCCAUAACGAGCGCAACCCUGRUUGUCAGUUACCAUCUGGUAAAGCAGGGGACUCUGACAAGACUGCCGUCGUAAGAUGUGAGGAAGGUUGGGAUGACGUCAAAUCAGCACGGCCCUAACGUCCGGGGCYACACACGUGUUACAAUGGGUGUUACAGCGGGUUGCUACGCGGCGACGCGAUGCCAAUCUCCAAAGACACUCUCAGUUCGGAUCGAAGUCUGCAACUCGACUUCGUGAAGCUGGAUUCGCUAGUAAUCGCGCAUCAGCCACGGUGCGGUGAAUACGUUCCCGGGCCUUGUACACACCGCCCGUCAAGCCAUGGGAGUCGGGGGUGCCUGAGGUGCGUUUCCGUGAGGGAACGUUCCAGGGUAAAUACCGGUGACCGGGGCU
Molecule: ribosomal RNA, 1117 nt
Filed under: uncultured bacterium
Lineage: Bacteria
Description: SSU rRNA
Rfam family: Bacterial small subunit ribosomal RNA
Source: RNAcentral